This 432-nucleotide ribosomal RNA is filed under the name uncultured bacterium. Its description in RNAcentral is "partial 16S ribosomal RNA". It matches the Rfam family "Bacterial small subunit ribosomal RNA", at positions 29 to 507 of the family's 1533-position model. The record is from RNAcentral.
AACGAACGCUGGCGGCAUGCCUAACACAUGCAAGUCGAACGAGACCGUCGGGUCAAUUGGGCCACGGGUGCGGAACGCGGGGGAACAUCCCGUUAGUUUCGGAAUAACUCCCCUAAAGGGGUGCUAAGACAGGGUGAUGUCUUCGAGCCAAAGAUUUAUCGCCUUAGUAUGGGCGCGGGUGGGAUUAGGUCGUUGGUAGGGGAAAAGACUACCAAGGCGACGAUCCAUAGCUGGUCCGAGAGGAUGGUCAGCCACACUGGGACUGAGACACGGCCCAGACUCCGGCGGAAGGCAGCAGGGGGGAAUAUCGGAAGCUGGGCGAAAGCCUGAGCCAGCAAGGCCGUGUGAGUGAUGAAGGCUUUAGGGUGGUAAAGCUCUUUUACCCGGGAUGACAAGGAGGUAACCGAGAGAAUAAGCCCCGGCAACCACCUG